CCUACGGGAGGCUGCAGUGGGGAAUAUUGGACAAUGGGGGCAACCCUGAUCCAACCAUGCCGCGUGUGUGAAGAAGGCCCUCGGGUUGUAAAGCACUUUCAGUGAGGAAGAACGCCUGGUGGUUAAUACCCAUCAGGAAAGACAUCACUCACAGAAGAAGCACCGGCUAACUCCGUGCCAGCAGCCGCGGUAAUACGGAGGGUGCGAGCGUUAAUCGGAAUUACUGGGCGUAAAGCGCGCGUAGGUGGCUUGAUAAGCCGGUUGUGAAAGCCCCGGGCUCAACCUGGGAACGGCAUCCGGAACUGUCAAGCUAGAGUGCAGGAGAGGAAGGUAGAAUUCCCGGUGUAGCGGUGAAAUGCGUAGAGAUCGGGAGGAAUACCAGUGGCGAAGGCGGCCUUCUGGACUGACACUGACACUGAGGUGCGAAAGCGUGGGUAGCAAACAGGAUUAGAUACCCGGGUAGUC
RNAcentral lists this ribosomal RNA (465 nucleotides) under Vreelandella stevensii. RNAcentral's name for it is "partial 16S ribosomal RNA". It matches the Rfam family "Bacterial small subunit ribosomal RNA", at positions 338 to 795 of the family's 1533-position model. The record is from RNAcentral. Lineage: Bacteria; Pseudomonadati; Pseudomonadota; Gammaproteobacteria; Oceanospirillales; Halomonadaceae.